Transfer RNA from Linderina pennispora, 73 nucleotides. It matches the Rfam family "tRNA". Rfam says of the family: Transfer RNA (tRNA) molecules are approximately 80 nucleotides in length. Their secondary structure includes four short double-helical elements and three loops (D, anti-codon, and T loops). The record is from Rfam. NCBI's taxonomy places the organism in Eukaryota, Fungi, Kickxellomycota, Kickxellomycetes, Kickxellales, Kickxellaceae.
GUCCGAUUGGCUCAGUUGGCAGAGCGUGAGUCUCAUAAUCUCAAGGUCGUGAGUUCGAGCCUCACAUCGGGCA